Molecule: ribosomal RNA, 715 nt
Filed under: Burkholderia sp. TAP3-2_Pa
Lineage: Bacteria; Pseudomonadati; Pseudomonadota; Betaproteobacteria; Burkholderiales; Burkholderiaceae
Description: bacterial SSU rRNA
Rfam family: Bacterial small subunit ribosomal RNA
Source: RNAcentral
GUCGAACGGCAGCACGGGGAGUAAUCCUGGUGGCGAGUGGCGAACGGGUGAGUAAUACAUCGGAACGUGUCCUGUAGUGGGGGAUAGCCCGGCGAAAGCCGGAUUAAUACCGCAUACGCUCUACGGAGGAAAGGGGGGGAUCUUAGGACCUCUCGCUACAGGGGCGGCCGAUGGCAGAUUAGCUAGUUGGUGGGGUAAAGGCCUACCAAGGCGACGAUCUGUAGCUGGUCUGAGAGGACGACCAGCCACACUGGGACUGAGACACGGCCCAGACUCCUACGGGAGGCAGCAGUGGGGAAUUUUGGACAAUGGGGGCAACCCUGAUCCAGCAAUGCCGCGUGUGUGAAGAAGGCCUUCGGGUUGUAAAGCACUUUUGUCCGGAAAGAAAACUUCUGCCCUAAUACGGUGGGAGGAUGACGGUACCGGAAGAAUAAGCACCGGCUAACUACGUGCCAGCAGCCGCGGUAAUACGUAGGGUGCAAGCGUUAAUCGGAAUUACUGGGCGUAAAGCGUGCGCAGGCGGUCCGCUAAGACAGAUGUGAAAUCCCCGGGCUUAACCUGGGAACUGCAUUUGUGACUGGCGGGCUAGAGUAUGGCAGAGGGGGGUAGAAUUCCACGUGUAGCAGUGAAAUGCGUAGAGAUGUGGAGGAAUACCGAUGGCGAAGGCAGCCCCCUGGGCCAAUACUGACGCUCAUGCACGAAAGCGUGGGGAGCA